Molecule: long non-coding RNA, 403 nt
Filed under: Gossypium raimondii (Peruvian cotton)
Lineage: Eukaryota; Viridiplantae; Streptophyta; Magnoliopsida; Malvales; Malvaceae
Description: long non-coding RNA (GRAI_LNC005785)
Source: RNAcentral
GUGGCAGUUGGAGGCUGCUGUCAAGCGCGCGGCGGCUUAGGGUUUUUUUUGUUUUCUUUUUCUGAAAAUGUUUUGGGCUAUUCUGUUAGGCUAGGGUUUAGGUUUAGUUUGGGUUGUUUAUUGGUUUUGGGCCAUACAAGCCUGCUGGACUUUGUAAAUGGACUGGGGCUUUGUUUUUAUUUUUUAUUUUUUUUGUUUAUUGCUCAAUGGGCCCGGUCAAAUUGGGUCAUUUACAUUACCAACACUAGCUAUUGAGGUCGCUUUCGAACUCACAGGUGGUCUGUCUCGAUCUCAUCUAGAAUAACCCACAGUAGCCUUUGAACGUCUAAAAUCAUCUCAGAACUUCUUUGAAGUCGACUAAAAUGACUUACUCGAUGAUCUUUUUCGUAAAUCUCUAGCUUCA